AUGUCUCCAAUUCCCAGUUGAAAUUAUUUUAGGCCUAAUAUCUCUAAAUCAUUUCCUUGCAUUUCAUCGACUUCGAACUAAGGGGUAGAUAAGGAAGCUUUGCCUUCCAGGAAUUUUUAGAAGACAAAGUGAGUCUCUGAGGUCAGAGUGGUCACCAAUAAAUAAUGAUCCUUGAAGUUUGAAUAACUAUCAAGGUAAACAUCAAACACAUUGACCAACUAAUAAAGUGAAAGCAACCUUUUCC
Molecule: long non-coding RNA, 244 nt
Filed under: Lathyrus oleraceus (garden pea)
Lineage: Eukaryota; Viridiplantae; Streptophyta; Magnoliopsida; Fabales; Fabaceae
Description: Pisum sativum (pea) long non-coding RNA (PSAT_LNC029461)
Source: RNAcentral